UCUAGGUACUACGGUAAGACGUGAAAACACCUGAUCCCAUUCCGACCUCGAUA
RNAcentral lists this ribosomal RNA (53 nucleotides) under Cycas taitungensis. The record is from RNAcentral. Lineage: Eukaryota; Viridiplantae; Streptophyta; Cycadopsida; Cycadales; Cycadaceae.